CAGAAGGGACUGCCUUCCCCUCAGUGCUCGCCCCUCCCUAGUGAUCACUCAGUGCCCCUGAGCUCAUUCUUUUCAGUAAAUUCUCUCUCUGCGUGGUGAGAAAACAGGCCUGGAGAGGCUCUGCGACCCGCUUAGGACCACAGAACUCGAGAAUUACGUGUACCAGUUACGGCAGGAAUGCUACGCGUUUAAUGGGACACAGCGCUUCCUGGAGAGAUACAUCUACAACCGGGAGGAGUUCGUGCGCUUCGACAGCGACGUGGGGGAGUUCCGGGCGGUGACGGAGCUGGGGCGGCCUGAUGAGGACUACUGGAACAGCCAGAAGGACCUCCUGGAGGAGAAGCGGGCAGUGCCGGACAGGGUAUGCAGACACAACUACGAGCUGGACGAGGCCGUGACCCUGCAGCGCCGAGUCCAGCCU
RNAcentral lists this unclassified non-coding RNA (421 nucleotides) under Homo sapiens (human). Its description in RNAcentral is "major histocompatibility complex, class II, DP beta 1 (ENSG00000230708.10)". The record is from RNAcentral. Lineage: Eukaryota; Metazoa; Chordata; Mammalia; Primates; Hominidae.